GCAGAGCAUCCUACGGGAGGCAGCAGUGGGGAAUAUUGCACAAUGGGCGCAAGCCUGAUGCAGCCAUGCCGCGUGUAUGAAGAAGGCCUUCGGGUUGUAAAGUACUUUCAGCAGUGAGGAAGGUGGGUAUGUUAAUAGCAUACUCAUUUGACGUUAGCUGCAGAAGAAGCACCGGCUAACUCCGUGCCAGCAGCCGCGGUAAUACGGAGGGUGCGAGCGUUAAUCGGAAUUACUGGGCGUAAAGCGCAUGCAGGUGGUUUGUUAAGUCAGAUGUGAAAGCCCGGGGCUCAACCUCGGAAUUGCAUUUGAAACUGGCAAACUAGAGUACUGUAGAGGGGGUAGAAGUUUCAGGUGUAGCGGUGAAAUGCGUAGAGAUCUGAAGGAAUACCGGUGGCGAAGGCGGCCCCCUGGACAGAUACUGACACUCAGAUGCGAAAGCGUGGGGAGCAAACAGGAUUAGAUACCCUGGUAG
RNAcentral lists this ribosomal RNA (472 nucleotides) under uncultured bacterium. Its description in RNAcentral is "bacterial SSU rRNA". It matches the Rfam family "Bacterial small subunit ribosomal RNA", at positions 329 to 793 of the family's 1533-position model. The record is from RNAcentral.